Molecule: ribosomal RNA, 253 nt
Filed under: uncultured bacterium
Lineage: Bacteria
Description: partial 16S ribosomal RNA
Rfam family: Bacterial small subunit ribosomal RNA
Source: RNAcentral
UACGGAGGGUGCAAGCGUUAUCCGGAAUCACUGGGUUUAAAGGGUGCGUAGGCGGCUAAAUAAGUCAGAGGUGAAAGCUUGCAGCUUAACUGCGAAAUUGCCUUUGAUACUGUAUAGCUUGAAAGGAGCUGAGGUCAGCAGAAUGUGGCAUGUAGCGGUGAAAUGCAUAGAGAUGCCAGAGAAUACCAAUUGCGAAGGCAGCUGGCUGGGCUUACUUUGACGAUGAGGCACGAAAGAGUGGGGAUCGAACAGG